UACAGAGGUGGCAAGCGUUGUUCGGAAUUACUGGGCGUAAAGGGCGCGUAGGUGGCCUUCUAAGUUGAACGUGAAAUCCCUGGGCUCAACCCAGGAACUGCGUCCAAGACUGGGAGGCUUGAAUCCGGGAGAGGGAUGCGGAAUUCCAGGUGUAGCGGUGAAAUGCGUAGAUAUCUGGAGGAACACCGGUGGCGAAGGCGGCAUCCUGGACCGGUAUUGACACUGAGGCGCGAAAGCCAGGGGAGCAAACGGG
RNAcentral lists this ribosomal RNA (253 nucleotides) under uncultured bacterium. RNAcentral's name for it is "partial 16S ribosomal RNA". It matches the Rfam family "Bacterial small subunit ribosomal RNA", at positions 524 to 776 of the family's 1533-position model. The record is from RNAcentral.